Molecule: ribosomal RNA, 433 nt
Filed under: uncultured bacterium
Lineage: Bacteria
Description: partial 16S ribosomal RNA
Rfam family: Bacterial small subunit ribosomal RNA
Source: RNAcentral
AACGAACGCUGGCGGCAUGCCUAACACAUGCAAGUCGAACGAGACCUUCGGGCCUAGUGGCGCACGGCGGCGUAACGCGUGGGAACCUGCCCGUAGGUUCGGAAUAACUCCCCGAGAGGGGUGCUAAUACCGGAUAAUGUCUUCGGACCAAAGAUUUAUCGCCUUUGGAUGGGCGCGCGUUGGAUUAGCUGGUUGGUAGGGUAAUAGCCUAGCAAGGCGACGUUCCAUAGCUGGUCUGGGAGGAGGACCAGCUACGCUUGAACUGCGACACGGCCCAGACUGCUACGCAGGGCAGGAGUAGGGAAUAUUGGGCGAGGGGCGAAAGCCUAAUAAAGCAACGUGGGGUAAGUGAGGAUGGCCGUAGUGUUGUAAAGCCGUCUUAGCCGAGAUGAUAAUGACAGUACCGGGUGAAUAAGCUCCGGCUAACUACGUG